This 254-nucleotide ribosomal RNA is filed under the name uncultured bacterium. RNAcentral describes it as "partial 16S ribosomal RNA". It matches the Rfam family "Bacterial small subunit ribosomal RNA", at positions 524 to 776 of the family's 1533-position model. The record is from RNAcentral.
UACGUAGGGGCCUAGCGUUGUCCGGAUUUAUUGGGCGUAAAACGCUUGUAGGUGGCUACGUCAAGUCGGACGUGAAAUCUCCCGGCUUAACUGGGAGGGGUCGCUCGAUACUGGCGAGCUCGAGGCAGGUAGGGGGAAGCGGAAUUCCCGGUGUAGUGGUGGAAUGCGUAGAUAUCGGGAGGAACACCAGUGGCGAAGGCGGCUUCCUGGACCUGUUCUGACACUGAGGAGCGAAAGCGUGGGGAGCGAUCCGG